Molecule: long non-coding RNA, 814 nt
Organism: Columba livia (rock pigeon)
Lineage: Eukaryota; Metazoa; Chordata; Aves; Columbiformes; Columbidae
Exons: 3
Source: RefSeq, a predicted model, not a curated record
CUCAAAACAGACAGAGCAGCAGCAGAUGAGCUUCAAUGCAGUUAAUUACAUGCAUGAUAAAUAGGUAUAAUAACCUAGUAACCUAUGUUUUCACCCAGGGAGGAGAUUUUGAAGCCAUCUCUGACACCAACAGCCCAGUGAGCAGCAGCUGCCAGAAAAACUCAAGAUACUGAACAUCACCAGCACAGGACCUUAGUCUGACAUACUGAAAAAUGAUUAGGUUUUUUUCCUCUACAAAGAAGAACAUGUUGAGGUGAAGGGCUGGAAAUUGCAAGUUGCGUUGAAUGCCAGAAGAAUUCUGGAAGGACAACUGCAGAGAGAUAACGUUCUGGGAUUUCAAUGUAGAGCAAAAGCUUCACUGCCACCCUGGGACUUGUGUUUCCUGCUGCUCAAGGAUCCCGAUGCUUGUAAUGAAGAGCAAGACAAGAACAAUAUACCCAGAUACCUGCUGGAAAUCAAGCAACUGAUCUUGAUGCUUUUCAACCAAGUCCCAGCCUCAACAACAGAUUAAAGUAUGAAUGAUUAAGUGAACAUUAAGGCGACUUCCAUUUUGCCUUUCUAACAGAAUAUUCUUUUUUUUUUUUAAGGUGUUGUAGGGAAAGGUGGAGUGGGACAAAAAUGCCAUCCACCUCUUUUGAAUAACAGGUAUAGGUUUGCUUUAUUACGUCUUCUGCUAUUGUAAUCAACAGGAAAAUCAGCCUUUGUCCAUUUCCCCAGCUCCACCAUGCAAGACUCGGGAAGACUGACAUAUGGGUGUCCUGUUUGUCACAUCAGUGUUAGGCUGCUGUUCCCUUCAUGCACGGGGAAGAGUGGC